GAUUAUGGCUCAGAUUGAACGCUGGCGGCAGGCCUAACACAUGCAAGUCGAGCGGAUGACGGGAGCUUGCUCCUUGAUUCAGCGGCGGACGGGUGAGUAAUGCCUAGGAAUCUGCCUGGUAGUGGGGGACAACGUUUCGAAAGGAACGCUAAUACCGCAUACGUCCUACGGGAGAAAGCAGGGGACCUUCGGGCCUUGCGCUAUCAGAUGAGCCUAGGUCGGAUUAGCUAGUUGGUGGGGUAAUGGCUCACCAAGGCGACGAUCCGUAACUGGUCUGAGAGGAUGAUCAGUCACACUGGAACUGAGACACGGUCCAGACUCCUACGGGAGGCAGCAGUGGGGAAUAUUGGACAAUGGGCGAAAGCCUGAUCCAGCCAUGCCGCGUGUGUGAAGAAGGUCUUCGGAUUGUAAAGCACUUUAAGUUGGGAGGAAGGGCAGUAAGYUAAUACCUUGCUGUUUUGACGUUACCGACAGAAUAAGCACCGGCUAACUCUGUGCCAGCAGCCGCGGUAAUACAGAGGGUGCAAGCGUUAAUCGGAAUUACUGGGCGUAAAGCGCGCGUAGGUGGUUUGUUAAGUUGGAUGUGAAAGCCCCGGGCUCAACCUGGGAACUGCAUCCAAAACUGGCAAGCUAGAGUACGGUAGAGGGUGGUGGAAUUUCCUGUGUAGCGGUGAAAUGCGUAGAUAUAGGAAGGAACACCAGUGGCGAAGGCGACCACCUGGACUGAUACUGACACU
This 737-nucleotide ribosomal RNA is filed under the name Pseudomonas sp. 120516_NH_C1_G8. Its description in RNAcentral is "bacterial SSU rRNA". It matches the Rfam family "Bacterial small subunit ribosomal RNA", at positions 15 to 747 of the family's 1533-position model. Lineage: Bacteria; Pseudomonadati; Pseudomonadota; Gammaproteobacteria; Pseudomonadales; Pseudomonadaceae. The record is from RNAcentral.